This is a long non-coding RNA of Manis javanica (Malayan pangolin), 2253 nucleotides long. RefSeq lists it as uncharacterized. The record is from RefSeq and is a predicted model, not a curated record. NCBI's taxonomy places the organism in Eukaryota, Metazoa, Chordata, Mammalia, Pholidota, Manidae.
GUGAAAUCUGGAGAGCCAGACCCAGGCAGGAUAAGCUCAUUCUGGGCUUGGGACCUGCUGACUGGUUUCACAGGUGGCCCUGCAGUGGAGAGGCCCCUAAAGGGAUGAUUCCCAAGGAAUCAAGUGUCUCCCGAGUGGUGCUUCCUGUGGAUGGCAGCCACGGGGGAGGGCAGAGAUUCUAACAGCAAAUGAGAAAGAAGGGAACUGUGAACACAAAGGGAAGGUGAUGUGAAGACACAGGGAGAGUGCCAUCUAACAGCCACAUGAUUCCCAAGGCUACCAGAAGCUAAGAGAGAAGCACAGAACAGAUUCUCUGUUACAUCUCUCAGACAGAGUCAACUUUUCGACAUGCUGAGUUCAGAAUUCUAGCCUUCAGAACUGUGAAAAAAUACAUUUCUGUUGCUUAAGCCACUUUUUUGUGGUCCUCUCAUAUGGCAACCCUUGGAAACUCUAGAGUAGGGGAGGACCUCUGAGGUUACAUUCUGAUGGGCAUUCUGGGACAGUGUGCAUGGAACCCAGUGUUCAAAGUUGAGGUCAAAGCACUUACAGUAUUUUUUAACAUAAAUCUGUAAAAAAAAUAUAUUCAGUGGGAACUAAGCUACAAAACAAAUCUGAGUGACACAAUAUUCCAUAAUUGAAACUUUGAAAUGGUGUGAGUCCUUACUCCUGAACUGACUUCAUUACCUCUGGCUUCAUCCUGCAGAAUGUGUGUUUCUGACGUCCACUGCAUCAGACUACCAGUCACAUCCUAGUGAAUUGAGUCUCUUUUAAAUGUAAAGGUCAAAGGUAUUUUACUUUAAAUACUAAAAUAGACACCAAUUUUAAACAUUCCUUUAACCCUAAUUCCCCUAGACCUCUGUCACCUCUGCACAUAACGUGUUUGAGUCUCCACCUGAACCUAAACUGGACUGUCACAACUUUGGCAGAACCUCUUUUAGGAAAAUUUAUAACAUUCCUUAACUGUCUGCUCCAGGGUAUCACUUACUAUAAGAAAAAUCUUUUUGGGUUCCCUUUGAAACCAUAGUUCAAAAUAUAUGUGUUUGUUCUUGCAUUAUCUUUAGUAGAGAUAAAAAUUAUAUGAUAAGAUAAAUCUAUGUCCAUUAGGAGAAAAAGAUCUAGAUUAUUCCCCAGUCUUCAGUAAAUAACCCUAUGCUUCUAACCUUAAAGGUGUUGGCUUUCAACUUUCAGUCAUUUGAAUUCUUCGGGAGAGAUCCCUCAUCAGUUUCAUCACAUUAAUAUAUAAAUCACUAAACUGUAAAUGAAUUUUUAAGAUACCACGUAAAAAUAAUUAGCAUGCAUGUUGCAAGGAGAACUUCCCACAGUAAAAUUUCUAGAUAGAAGUUGAAGUCCUGUACACUGAACUCCUCAAAUGAAAUAAGCAUAGGGGUUCUUAAAUAUUCUUUUUAAAAAGAAAGCACAAAGAUGUGGUGAAACUAUUUUGCUUGCCAUGUCAGCAUUCCUUGAGAGGAGAGAAAGAAAAGGAUAUUCUUCAGUUUAGCUCUACAAAGACUUCAAAACAUUUUGAUUUUCAAAGACACUUUUACAGAGCUAUAAAACUGCUUGUCUCCCAUCCAGACCAUCCCGUACACAAAUGCAGUUUUAAUUUUUAUAAAGUGCUACUUUGAUUAUGCAAUUCCUUGGCCAAAAUUGAUUAUGGCUUCUUACUGUGUGUCAGAUCACAUCUAUGCAUUUCAAGAUCAUUGAUAAUCUGUACCCAUCCAAUAUAUCCCAAAUAUUAUUUCACAUUUCCCCAUCAUAAAGUUUAUUCCUUUAUUUUACUGCCUUUUUCUCCCCUUGUCAACUCCAACACAUAUGGGUUUAUAUACAUACACUCCGUAAAACACAUAUGUGCAUGCACAUAUACACACACAUUAACAUAUCCCAUAUCUAUUCUGGCCUUUUUGGGGACUUUUACUUAUACUUUUUCCCCCUCUUUUGCUAUUUGCUUAAAUCUUUUCUCCUAGCCAGAUUCUAAACUUCCUCAAAGCUUCAUUUCCUUCUAGAAAGCUCCCCUGAUGACCUGUACCUCAGUUAUCCAUCCACCUUCUUAUCACUGCUACUUAUUCAGUAAGACUAUCCAGCAAUUGUUUAAAUACUAUUCUAUAGUGCUUUCUAAAUUUUUAUGAACAUACAGGCUAUGUUAUAAUUUUUAGGCUUCCUACAUAUCUCUCACUGCCAAUCAUGAUAUCCCAAACAAAACUCAUAAUCUUCAUUCCCAUCCAAGAUCUUCCAAUGGGUCUAUUCUGUUCCUUC